UUGUUUUUCUGAGAGCUACGAGACGAACGGAGAAGAUCGGAACAAGAUGAUGUCCGGUGGGAACUACACGACUAUCGACAGUCAGAAAGUCUCUAGAUUUGUUUCUUCUGUUCCAGAUCCAGGCCAUACCACCGUCAAAUUCGCAGGAGUUGAAGUGAAAUCAGGUGCGCCUCUUAAGGUUACUCCUGAAGAAGACAACCUCAUCCACAUUUCUCAGGUUAUUUUCAAUUUUUUUUUACACAGCUUGUUUAAAUUUCGUAGUUUUAGUGUAAUAUGUAGUUUGAUUCUGGUUUCUCUAUGUGGUAGGCAACCUUGACUGUAAGGGGAAGAUGACAUGCAUAUGAUAUUGUUUGUAUGAGUAAUUUUGAUUAGUAAUGUACAUCUUACAGUUCCAUUCUGAUUAGAGAACACGAGUCGGGAGUUUGCUGCGUCUGACUUGUUUUGCAUAGCGCUUGAUGUUAGCUACCUUCGGUCUUACUUAAUCGAUCCUUAGAUUAUGUUUGUACUAGAAGAUAUUGAUCUGUCUCAGUUCAGUUCUGAGAUAGUCCUAUGUGGUUUCGAUGAUUGGAUGCAUUUGGUUAUCUUGUUAACCCUCUUCGGAUUAAUUUUGUUUGAUGUUCGUUCGCAGGGAAAACCACAUUUGUAAAGAGACAUCUUACUGGAGAGUUUGAGAAGAAGUAUGAACCCACUAUUGGUGUUGAGGUUCAUCCUCUAGAUUUCUUCACUAACUGUGGCAAGAUCCGUUUUUACUGUGGAGGCUCCCAAAACUUUUCCCCAAGCUGUUCCUGCUGUUGUACCUGCCAAUGGAAAUGCUAAAGCUGCUGUUGUGAAGGCUGACUCAAAGCUAAAGGCUAAGCCUGCAGAAGUUGCGCCUCAAUCAGAAGAUGAUGAGGAUGACUCCGACGAGGAAGAUGAGUCUGAUGACGAUGAUGACUAUGAGAAAGGAGUGAGUUUUUGUAGAUGUCUAGUAUAUGUACAUACAUUUAUAUUUUAAUUUUCAAAUAUGUUUUAUGAUUAAUUUUUAUAAGUUUUCACUUUA
Molecule: long non-coding RNA, 1039 nt
Organism: Capsella rubella
Lineage: Eukaryota; Viridiplantae; Streptophyta; Magnoliopsida; Brassicales; Brassicaceae
Exons: 5
Source: RefSeq, a predicted model, not a curated record